GACGAACGCUGGCGGCGUGCUUAACACAUGCAAGUCGAACGGAAAGGCCCUGCUUGCAGGGUACUCGAGUGGCGAACGGGUGAGUAACACGUGGGUGAUCUGCCCUGCACUUCGGGAUACGCCUGGGAAACUGGGUCUAAUACCGGAUAGGAGCCAUUUUUAGUGUGAUGGUUGGAAAGUUUUUUCGGUGUAGGAUGAGCUCGCGGCCUAUCAGCUUGUUGGUGGGGUAAUGGCCUACCAAGGCGGCGACGGGUAGCCGGCCUGAGAGGGUGGACGGCCACAUUGGGACUGAGAGACGGCCCAGACGCCUACGGGAGGCAGCAGUGGGGAAGAUUGCACAAUGGGCGCAAGCCUGAUGCAGCGACGCCGCGUGGGGGAUGACGGCCUUCGGGUUGUAAACUCCUUUCGCUAGGGACGAAGCUUUUUGUGACGGUACCUAGAUAAGAAGCACCGGCUAACUACGUG
Molecule: ribosomal RNA, 465 nt
Filed under: uncultured bacterium
Lineage: Bacteria
Description: partial 16S ribosomal RNA
Rfam family: Bacterial small subunit ribosomal RNA
Source: RNAcentral